AAAGAUUUAGUUUUAUAUUUAAAACCUUAAUUUGUCAAAUUAAAAUUAUUCAUAAGAAUAGUCUUUA
Molecule: transfer RNA, 67 nt
Filed under: Cazira horvathi
Lineage: Eukaryota; Metazoa; Arthropoda; Insecta; Hemiptera; Pentatomidae
Description: tRNA-Asp
Source: RNAcentral